AAAUUGAAUAGUCGCUGGUAAAUUCCGAAAGGAACUACGAGAGGAAAGUCCGGACUCCAUAGAGCAAAGAUGCUAGAUAACGUCUAGUGAGGGUGACCUUAAGGAAAGUGCAACAGAAAAUAACCGCCUUUUAAAGGUAAGGGUGAAAAGGUGUGGUAAGAGCUCACCGCCAUUAUAGUGAUAUAAUGGGUCAGUGUAAACCCCAUCUGGAGCAACACCUUAGAGAGAAGACAGCUAAGAGCUCUUAAAAGCUGUUUCUUAAAAUCUCUUUGAGUGGCUUGAAAUAGAUAGCAAUAUCUAUUCUAGAUAAAUGACUAUUUUAAAAGACAGAAUCCGGCUUACAGAUUUGCUCUA
Molecule: RNase P RNA, 354 nt
Filed under: human gut metagenome
Description: Bacterial RNase P class A
Rfam family: Bacterial RNase P class A
About the family: Ribonuclease P (RNase P) is a ubiquitous endoribonuclease, found in archaea, bacteria and eukarya as well as chloroplasts and mitochondria.
Source: RNAcentral